RNAcentral lists this unclassified non-coding RNA (246 nucleotides) under uncultured fungus. RNAcentral's name for it is "sequence contains ITS2". The record is from RNAcentral. Lineage: Eukaryota; Fungi.
AACGCACAUUGCGCCCGCGAGUAUUCUCGCGGGCAUGCCUGUCCGAGCGUUGUUAAGCCCACUCGAGCCCUGCUCGGCGUUGGGGCGCGCGGGUCUUAGCGACCCGCGGCCCUGAAGGCUAGCGGCGGCGGCCCUGGGAGCCCUCUGCGUAGUGAAACCCUCGCACCGGAAGCCCUUGGCCCGCCAGCCUCGACAUGUUUUAUAACGGUCAACCUCGGAUCAGGUAGGGAUACCCGCUGAACUUAA